RNAcentral lists this small nucleolar RNA (221 nucleotides) under Felis catus (domestic cat). RNAcentral's name for it is "Small nucleolar RNA U3 (ENSFCAG00000044949.1)". It matches the Rfam family "Small nucleolar RNA U3". Rfam says of the family: Small nucleolar RNAs (snoRNAs) are involved in the processing and modification of rRNA in the nucleolus. There are two main classes of snoRNAs: the box C/D class, and the box H/ACA class. Lineage: Eukaryota; Metazoa; Chordata; Mammalia; Carnivora; Felidae. The record is from RNAcentral.
AAAACAAUACUUUCAGAGAUCAUUUCUAUAGCGAUUUGCUACCGAAAUGGCGUUUUUAAAGUGUUUGGACUCGCUAUCCACGAGGAAGAGUGAGAGUGUUCACUUUUGAGCGUGAAGGAGACAGCGAGUGUUUUUUUUUUUUUGGCCAACUGCUCCCUGUUAUUGAUGACCGCUCCAGUGUUCCUUAGGGGGCUGGAGGAAGCGGACACGUUCUGAGUGGG